GCUGAACGCUGGCGGCGUGCCUAAUACAUGCAAGUCGAGCGAACGGACGACGAGCUUGCUCCUCUCACGUUAGCGCCGGACGGGUGAGUAACACGUGGAUAACCUCCCUAUAAGCCUUGGGUGACUUCGGGACGCCGGAUCUACUACCGGAUAAUAUCUUGAACCGCAUGGUUCAAUAGUGUAAGGCCGUUUUGCUGUCACUUAUCGAUAGUUACUCGUCGUAUUGGCUCGUUUGUAUGGUCACGGCUGACCAAGGCAACGAUGCGUAGCCGACCGGAGAGGAUAGGCAGCCACACUGGAAGGGGGGCAAGGUCCAGACACCGAAGGGAGGCAGCAGUAGGGAAUCUUCCGCAAUGGGCGCAAGCUUGACGCAGCAACGCCGGGUGAAUGAUGAAGGUCUUCGGAUCGUAAAACCCUGUUAUUAGGGAAGAACAAGGGUGUAAGUAACGAGGCACGUGUUGACGGUACCUAAGGAGAAAGCCACGGCUAACUACGUG
RNAcentral lists this ribosomal RNA (497 nucleotides) under uncultured bacterium. Its description in RNAcentral is "partial 16S ribosomal RNA". It matches the Rfam family "Bacterial small subunit ribosomal RNA", at positions 28 to 507 of the family's 1533-position model. The record is from RNAcentral.